UACGGAGGAUGCAAGCGUUAUCCGGAAUUAUUGGGCGUAAAGGGUUCGCAGGUGGCAAUGUAAGUCUGCUGUCAAAGAAUGAGGCUUAACCUCAUCAAGGCAGUGGAAACUACAUAGCUAGAGUACGGUCGGGGUAGAAGGAAUUCCUGGUGUAGCGGUGAAAUGCGUAGAGAUCAGGAAGAACACCGGUGGCGAAAGCGUUCUGCUAGACCUGUACUGACACUGAGGGACGAAAGCUAGGGGAGCGAAUGGG
This 253-nucleotide ribosomal RNA is filed under the name uncultured bacterium. Its description in RNAcentral is "partial 16S ribosomal RNA". It matches the Rfam family "Bacterial small subunit ribosomal RNA", at positions 524 to 776 of the family's 1533-position model. The record is from RNAcentral.